GAGUUAUAAAGAAGAGCGGAGAGAACAGGCUCGCAGAUGCUCUGGCAACCGGCUAAAGCAAGGUGCCACAACCUGCCCAAAAGGGAAUUAUAACUA
RNAcentral lists this non-coding RNA (96 nucleotides) under Salinivirga cyanobacteriivorans. RNAcentral describes it as "SAM-I sequence". It matches the Rfam family "SAM riboswitch aptamer (S box leader)". Rfam says of the family: The SAM riboswitch is found upstream of a number of genes which code for proteins involved in methionine or cysteine biosynthesis in Gram-positive bacteria. The SAM riboswitch acts at the level of transcription termination control. The predicted structure consists of a complex stem-loop region followed by a single stem loop terminator region. The record is from Rfam by way of RNAcentral. Lineage: Bacteria; Pseudomonadati; Bacteroidota; Bacteroidia; Bacteroidales; Salinivirgaceae.